GGCGAGUGAAGCGGCAACAGCUCAAAUUUGAAAUCUGGUCCCUAGGGCCCGAGUUGUAAUUUGUAGAGGAUGCUUUUGGUGAGGUGCCGCCCGAGUUCCCUGGAACGGGACGCCACAGAGGGUGAGAGCCCCGUCUGGCUGGCCGCCGAGCCUCUGUAAAGCUCCUUCGACGAGUCGAGUAGUUUGGGAAUGCUGCUCAAAAUGGGAGGUAUAUGUCUUCUAAAGCUAAAUAUUGGCCAGAGACCGAUAGCGCACAAGUAGAGUGAUCGAAAGAUGAAAAGCACCUUGAAAAGAGGGUUAAAUAGUACGUGAAAUUGUUGAAAGGGAAGCGCUUGUGACCAGACUUGGGCGCGGCGGAUCAUCCGGGGUUCUCUCCGGUGCACUUCGCCGCGUCUAGGCCAGCAUCAGUUCGUCGCGGGGGAAAAAGGCUUCGGGAACGUGGCUCCUCCGGGAGUGUUAUAGCCCGUUGCAUAAUACCCUGCGGUGGACUGAGGACCGCGCAUCUGCAAGGAUGCUGGCGUAAUGGUCACCAGCGACC
RNAcentral lists this ribosomal RNA (538 nucleotides) under Trichoderma sp. Its description in RNAcentral is "LSU rRNA". It matches the Rfam family "Eukaryotic large subunit ribosomal RNA", at positions 88 to 649 of the family's 3401-position model. The record is from RNAcentral. Lineage: Eukaryota; Fungi; Ascomycota; Sordariomycetes; Hypocreales; Hypocreaceae.